RNAcentral lists this small RNA (127 nucleotides) under Marmota monax (woodchuck). Lineage: Eukaryota; Metazoa; Chordata; Mammalia; Rodentia; Sciuridae. The record is from RNAcentral.
GCUGGGUGUGGUUAUGCAUGCCUGUAAUCCCAGCAACUUGGGAGGCUGAGGCAGGAGGAUCACAAGUUCAAAGCCAGCCUCAGUAACUUAGUGAGGCCCUAAGCAACCUAAUGAGACCCUAUCUCAA